GAUUAACGCUGGCGGCGUGCCUAACACAUGCAAGUCGAGCGGCAGCGAGUUUUACACUGAAUUCUGGAAGCCUCUAGUUGAAAGAGAAGAUUUAUUCAAGAAUUUUGUGUAAAAUGUCGGCGAGCGGCGGACGGCUGAGUAACGCGUGGGAACGUACCCCAAAGUGAGGGAUAACGCAUCGAAAGGUGUGCUAAUACCGCAUAUGGUCUUCGGAUUAAAGCCUUCGGGCGCUUUGGGAACGGCCUGCGUAAGAUUAGAUAGUUGGUGGGGUAAUGGCCUACCAAGUCGACGAUCUUUAACUGGUUUGAGAGGAUGAUCAGUCAGACUGGAACUGAGACACGGUCCAGACUCCUACGGGAGGCAGCAGUGAGGAAUCUUCCACAAUGGGCGAAAGCCUGAUGGAGCAACGCCGCGUGCAGGAUGAAGGCCUUCGGGUUGUAAACUGCUUUUAUAAGUGAGGAUUAUGACAGUAACUUAUGAAUAAGGAUCGGCUAACUACGUG
RNAcentral lists this ribosomal RNA (502 nucleotides) under uncultured bacterium. Its description in RNAcentral is "partial 16S ribosomal RNA". It matches the Rfam family "Bacterial small subunit ribosomal RNA", at positions 28 to 507 of the family's 1533-position model. The record is from RNAcentral.